RNAcentral lists this small nucleolar RNA (142 nucleotides) under Patiria miniata (bat star). Lineage: Eukaryota; Metazoa; Echinodermata; Asteroidea; Valvatida; Asterinidae. The record is from RNAcentral.
ACUGGUCUCUAUCGAAGACUCAUCAGUCAUUUUUCCCCAUUGGCUCCUGAGAUCAAAAAGAGGCCGACAUCAAAUCUUUCUUUAUGGUCGCUGGACAGGAUUUUUUCACCCGGUUCCAGCAUUACCCAAGGAAAGAACAAAC